GGGUUGUGAGGUUAAGCGACUAAGCGUACACGGUGGAUGCCCUGGCAGUCAGAGGCGAUGAAGGACGUGCUAAUCUGCGAUAAGCGUCGGUAAGGUGAUAUGAACCGUUAUAACCGGCGAUUUCCGAAUGGGGAAACCCAGUGUGAUUCGUCACACUAUCAUUAACUGAAUCCAUAGGUUAAUGAGGCGAACCGGGGGAACUGAAACAUCUAAGUACCCCGAGGAAAAGAAAUCAACCGAGAUUCCCCCAGUAGCGGCGAGCGAACGGGGAGCAGCCCAGAGCCUGAAUCAGUGUGUGUGUUAGUGGAAGCGUCUGGAAAGGCGCGCGAUACAGGGUGACAGCCCCGUACACAAAAAUGCACAUGCUGUGAGCUCGAUGAGUAGGGCGG
Molecule: ribosomal RNA, 389 nt
Filed under: Escherichia coli
Lineage: Bacteria; Pseudomonadati; Pseudomonadota; Gammaproteobacteria; Enterobacterales; Enterobacteriaceae
Description: bacterial LSU rRNA
Rfam family: Bacterial large subunit ribosomal RNA
Source: RNAcentral